UACGACGUAUCAGAGUUUGAUCCUGGCUCAGGACGAACGCUGGCGGCGUGCCUAACACAUGCAAGUCGAACGGAACUCAUUGGAACAAGCUUCGGCAAGGGAAUUUGAGUUUAGUGGCGAACGGGUGAGUAACGCGUGAGCAACCUGCCUUUCAGAGGGGGACAACAGUUGGAAACGACUGCUAAUACCGCAUAACACAUCGAGGGGGCAUCCUCUUGAUGUCAAAGAUUUAUCGCUGAAAGAUGGGCUCGCGUCUGAUUAGCUAGUUGGUGAGGUAACGGCUCACCAAGGCGACGAUCAGUAGCCGGACUGAGAGGUUGAACGGCCACAUUGGGACUGAGAUACGGCCCAG
RNAcentral lists this ribosomal RNA (352 nucleotides) under uncultured bacterium. Its description in RNAcentral is "bacterial SSU rRNA". It matches the Rfam family "Bacterial small subunit ribosomal RNA", at positions 1 to 334 of the family's 1533-position model. The record is from RNAcentral.